UCGUGUUUUUACUUCUACUAGCUUACAUUCAACUUUCCUUUUAACAUUUAUACAAGUGUUUAACAUCAAAAGUAGCUUUUUAUCAUAUCUCUUUGUAUUCGGAAAUUAAUCACAAUAGAUGCAGUGGCAAAGCGAGAAAGAAAAACUUCGGUCUCGCUGCGUGAUACAGAAUAAAUACAAUGUUAACCACGACUCCAGUAAGGAUUCCCAUCUCAAUUGGUAAAGCCAGGCAGAGCACGAAAGUCGUCAGUCCAGUUUUGGAUAGCAGAGAUGAUGACAGCAGCCAGUGCAGCCUUCGGGAUAAAUUCAAAGUACUGGGUAAAGAACUGUAGAGCAAGUAUCACCAUCAGACCUGGAAACAAUGACAAUGUAAAAUUAUAUUAACAGUUUUA
Long non-coding RNA from Pieris brassicae (large cabbage white), 392 nucleotides. RefSeq lists it as uncharacterized. NCBI's taxonomy places the organism in Eukaryota, Metazoa, Arthropoda, Insecta, Lepidoptera, Pieridae. The record is from RefSeq and is a predicted model, not a curated record. The transcript has 4 exons.